This 963-nucleotide ribosomal RNA is filed under the name uncultured bacterium. Its description in RNAcentral is "bacterial SSU rRNA". It matches the Rfam family "Bacterial small subunit ribosomal RNA", at positions 52 to 1013 of the family's 1533-position model. The record is from RNAcentral.
CACAUGCAGUCGAGGGGCAGCGGGGUGUAGCAAUACACUGCCGGCGACCGGCGCACGGGUGCGUAACGCGUAUGCAACCUACCCAUAACAGGGGCAUAACACUGAGAAAUUGGUACUAAUUCCCCAUAACAUUCGAAGAGGCAUCUCUUUGGGUUGAAAACUCCGGUGGUUAUGGAUGGGCAUGCGUUGUAUUAGCUAGUUGGUGAGGUAACGACUCACCAAGGCGACGAUACAUAGGGGGACUGAGAGGUUAACCCCCCACAUUGGUACUGAGACACGGACCAAACUCCUACGGGAGGCAGCAGUGAGGAAUAUUGGUCAAUGGACGCAAGUCUGAACCAGCCAUGCCGCGUGCAGGAUGACGGCUCUAUGAGUUGUAAACUGCUUUUGUACGAGGGUAAACUCACCUACGUGUAGGUGACUGAAAGUAUCGUACGAAUAAGGAUCGGCUAACUCCGUGCCAGCAGCCGCGGUAAUACGGAGGAUUCAAGCGUUAUCCGGAUUUAUUGGGUUUAAAGGGUGCGUAGGCGGUUAGAUAAGUUAGAGGUGAAAUCCCGGGGCUUAACUCCGAAAUUGCCUCUAAUACUGUUUGACUAGAGAGUAGUUGCGGUAGGCGGAAUGUAUGGUGUAGCGGUGAAAUGCUUAGAGAUCAUACAGAACACCGAUUGCGAAGGCAGCUUACCAAACUAUAUCUGACGUUGAGGCACGAAAGCGUGGGGAGCAAACAGGAUUAGAUACCCUGGUAGUCCACGCAGUAAACGAUGAUAACUCGCUGUCGGCGAUACACAGUCGGUGGCUAAGCGAAAGCGAUAAGUUAUCCACCUGGGGAGUACGUUCGCAAGAAUGAAACUCAAAGGAAUUGACGGGGGCCCGCACAAGCGGAGGAACAUGUGGUUUAAUUCGAUGAUACGCGAGGAACCUUACCCGGGCUUGAAAGUUAGCGACGGAUCUGGAAACAGGUCU